Molecule: long non-coding RNA, 3191 nt
Organism: Mya arenaria
Lineage: Eukaryota; Metazoa; Mollusca; Bivalvia; Myida; Myidae
Exons: 3
Source: RefSeq, a predicted model, not a curated record
UCCAGAAGGUAUUUCCCCGCUAUUCAUAGGACAAUAAUGGAAUUUCUACAUCGUAGUAGUUCGAAACUCGGGUGAUGAUUUUAUCAUGAAUAUACGUUUAAAAUAAGUAAACACUUAAAGUGCACACUGACAGUUGAUUACGAUACACCUAACAAUUUGAGUCAUUACAGUAAAACAUGGAUUAUAAGUGAAUUAUACGCGUAAGAGAAGAUUUUCUGUUGAAAAAACGAAUGUCAACAAUCGGCAUGGAACUGGGAUAUUCGUAUCAAAGGGCUAUGUAUGUAGGAAAAUGACUGAAUAUUACUAAGUCAACAAAUUGGGGUUAUGAAGAAUUCCAGCCUGCAUUAAAUACUAUGUUGGAUCAUUGAGACAGAUUUGACAUCCAUGUCAUCCACAAGGCAGUCAUAUCUGAUAGAGAUGAUCACUAAACUUUGUAGAUGGGUAAAGAACCUAAAGGGGCAUGACAACCAAAUCAGCAUUGACUCAGCAUUGAGUAAUUAUCAUCUGUGCACACACUACAAGUACAAACGCAUGGGAACAGACCAAACUUCAAAUGUUGAAGAGUGAAGACUUAUUGUGAAAAAUUACCAUUGACAAAAUAAAACAAAAAGACAUUGAUUACCUACAGAGACUGUUUACAUGUUAUAAUCAUAAAAAGACAAAUUAGUUGAGAACUUUCACUCUGACAUUUUUGGAGGGGCAUUACAGCCUACAUGUACAUAGUGUUCUUGUUUCUUUACAUAUUUUAAUUUGAAAGUACAUUCAUUGUUUUUAAAUCUGAAUUUUGAGUUAGUAUCAUACGAAAAUUCAUUUAUUUGAAUGAUUACAUUUUAUGAAUAAGUCCAAUAAAGCUUUAUCAAUUUUUACAAGAAAAGGGUUGAUUUUUUAAGCAUUUUAUUAGCUAUAAAAAUGUAUGGUUACAUGACAUUAUGUAUGUAUUUUCUUCAAAAUUGAACGGUAAACUAUCAUAAAUUGUCUUUUAAAUUGUUCAUUAGACAUCAUAGAAAAUAUUUAAAAUGAUUUCAGCAGGUUGCCUUAUUAUUAAUUAUUUUUUAUGAAUUUAUAAAACUGCUUUAUAUUUUUUUUAAACAUCGAAAUACUGCUCUGUUCAGAAGACUCACAAGAUCAAUCAAAAUGAUUUUUUUGCAUGUGUGUCAAUAAUGCUGUUCGGUUGAACUUAUGUUUUCUGUUAACUGAAGUUUAUUUCACCAGAAACUGUUGUGUUUAUUUCAUAUAAAGCUCUGAUAAUGUGAAACAGAAAUCUAAUAUAGACAAAAUAUUUACUUGUCGCUCUUUGUAGCCCUUGGAGUUUGGGGUUGGGUGUAAUGAAACUUAAAUAACUAUUUUAAUUCACGGUAAAAUAUCUUCAAAAUUUGGAUAAAAGUCCCAUAGUGUACCUUGAUAAAACUAUGUUGUCGGUGAAAGCUUUUUUUAAAGUGUGUAUUACUUAAAUACCUUAAUUCAGUUUAAAUAAUUAUGGCCUGAUUUUUGUUUUCAAAUAGAUUUCCUGUUAUAUUGAGCUUUGUCAAUUUUGUUGUUGUUUUGUAUUAUGUACAAUUACUACUUCUAUUUCCUAACUUAAAUUUUUUGUCUAAUUUGUCAAAUUGAAUUGGUACAUAUUUCAUAUAAAGUGAAAAAAAACACACACUAUUUUAAAAGAUGCACUCUUACUCCCAAACAAGACUUAUCACAAUUAAUAUUAUUGUUUUGAUUUUUCAAAAUGGAUUGAUAGAUGUCAACAACAAUGUUUCCAAUGAAGGAUUUUGAGUUCGAUUUGCUAAUAAGAAUGAACAUAAAACAUGGUAUUUCUGCCUUGUGAUACUAUAGUAGACCACAGUCAAUCUUUUAGCAAUCACCAAUCAUUUAAUAUUUGUCAUGCUUUCUGCUAUUAUAAACAGGGUCACAAGCUUGUUAUAAAUCAGUAAACAAUAUUUCAGUAAAUGCAUUAUUUAGUAAGUAGUUAUUGUUUUAUCAGUCAAUUUGAUGUGUGUUAUAAAUACAAUUAUAUGCAGGGCUUCCAUUAAAGGAAGUUUGGAAGUAUAUUACUCCUUAGAAAUGGGUUAAAACUUUCAAAAUUGAUUUCUAGGAAGUACAAAAACUUCCAUAAUUUUGAAGAAAACCACCAAAGUAGAAAGCUUGGAAGUUCGAAAUAUUCAAACCUUGUGUCAAUAUUACUUUUAUGGUCACAAUUUCAAUCAGUCUUAAGAUAAAAUGAUUUAUUAUAAUAUAAGUCUUUGAAUUUGGCAAGUUAAAGUUACAAAUUACUUGAUUUUUAACAUUCUAAUUGAAAAAUAGUGGAAAAAGAUAUUGUAUUCGGGAGAUUUUAACAUCCACAUUUCAGUGUAAAACUUCCAAAAUUGAUGGACAGGAAGUUGAUACUUCAAGUUUCAAAUUCUUAAUGGAAGCCCUGUUAAAUGUAUUGAUUUCAAUUAAGAGUUUCACUUUUAAGAUGCUCAUUUAAAGAUAAUGAACAGACACACAAAAACUAGACACAUAUGAUACUAAUUGUAUGAAUGAUUAUUGUUUAGGUGACCUCUGAUUUGUUUUGGAGAUAUUCAUAAAUGGGUGCUAUUCUUUGUUGUCUUCAGUUUCUUAUACAUUCAAGGAUUUUUAUAAUUGCUUUUCUGGUAUAUAUUAAUUUAAUGCAAGUGAAAACACACUUUAAAGUAGACACAUUUGAUACUAAUUAUAUAAAUGAUUAUUGUUGACAUGUACUCUGAUUUGUUAUGAAGAUAUUCAUAAAGGGGUGUUCGUCAUGUUAUUAUACAUUUUGGACUUGAUUUAGUAUUGCUUUUCUGGUAUAUAUUCAUUUAAUGCACAAAGAAAUUAUUUUAAGUGUUCAGUAUCACUUUCACACAUUGUUUACCAUUAUUUUGUGCAUAUUUGGCCUAUUUAUGCUUAUAUGUGCAUUGUUGUAUUUCAAAACCUUUGUGAAAAAUAGAAACAGUAUUAUUUCUUUCAUGCAUAGUCUGAUACAUAUUCAGUUUGUAUGCAUUACUUUUAUCAUAUUUGAAAAAAAUGCCAUUGUCCUAUAAGACACAUGCUAUUUUUGUGUUAAUAUCACUAUCAACUAAAAACAUCCAUUUUCAACUCUUCUUUACCAUGUAAAUGGAGAAGUUAACAUUAUAACUCCAUUGACCAGUUGUUUUAUGCAAUUUGUCCAAUUUCAUACAUUUUAGUAUUAUUAAAUA